AAUCAACGCUGGCGGCGUGCCUCAGACAUGCAAGUCGAACGAUUAAAGCUCUCUUCGGAGAGUGUAUAGAGUGGCGCACGGGUGAGUAACACGUAAGUAAUCUACCUUUGAGUGGGGAAUAACCCGGGGAAACCCGAGCUAAUACCGCAUAAUGCAGCGGCAUCGCAAGAUGACAGUUGUUAAAGGAGCAAUCCGCUUAAAGAGGAGCUUGCGGCAGAUUAGCUAGUUGGUAAGGUAAUGGCUUACCAAGGCUACGAUCUGUAUCCGGUCUAAGAGGACGGUCGGACACACUGACACUGAAUAACGGGUCAGACUCCUACGGGAGGCAGCAGUCGGGAAUUUUGGGCAAUGGGCGAAAGCCUGACCCAGCAACGCCGCGUGAAGGAUGAAGUAUUCGGUAUGUAAACUUCGAAAGAAUAGAANAAUAAAUGACGGUACUAUUUAUAAGGUCCGCUACUACGUGCCAGCCGCCGCAGUAAG
This 480-nucleotide ribosomal RNA is filed under the name uncultured bacterium. RNAcentral's name for it is "bacterial SSU rRNA". It matches the Rfam family "Bacterial small subunit ribosomal RNA", at positions 32 to 524 of the family's 1533-position model. The record is from RNAcentral.